GCCCGGCUAGCUCAAUUGGUUAGAGCAUUCGACUCUUAAUCGAAAGGUUCUGGGUAUGUUGACACUCACAAAACUCACAGCAGAUCUCAGCUAACGAUUCAACAGGUUCGAGUCCCAGGUCGGGCU
This 126-nucleotide transfer RNA is filed under the name Opeltia flavorubescens. RNAcentral describes it as "tRNA-Lys (CTT) (tRNA-Lys-CTT-1-1)". It matches the Rfam family "tRNA". From Rfam's summary of the family: Transfer RNA (tRNA) molecules are approximately 80 nucleotides in length. Their secondary structure includes four short double-helical elements and three loops (D, anti-codon, and T loops). Further hydrogen bonds mediate the characteristic L-shaped molecular structure. tRNAs have two regions of fundamental functional importance: the anti-codon, which is responsible for specific mRNA codon recognition, and the 3' end, to which the tRNAs corresponding amino acid is attached (by aminoacyl-tRNA synthetases). tRNAs cope with the degeneracy of the genetic code in two manners: having more than one tRNA (with a specific anti-codon) for a particular amino acid; and 'wobble' base-pairing, i.e. permitting non-standard base-pairing at the 3rd anti-codon position. Lineage: Eukaryota; Fungi; Ascomycota; Lecanoromycetes; Teloschistales; Teloschistaceae. The record is from RNAcentral.